Molecule: transfer-messenger RNA, 353 nt
Filed under: Bryobacteraceae
Lineage: Bacteria; Pseudomonadati; Acidobacteriota; Terriglobia; Bryobacterales
Also listed under: 1 other name
Description: QHXW01 sp020073305 Standard tmRNA
Rfam family: transfer-messenger RNA
About the family: Bacterial tmRNA, also known as 10Sa RNA or SsrA, is named for its dual tRNA and mRNA-like properties.
Source: RNAcentral
GGGGGCGCAACGGAUUCGACGGGAUUGAAUCGUUAUGGAGAGGCGUGCCGGGUUCCGAGCUCCCGUUAAACGAUCGGAAAAACACAACUGCCAAUACGCAGUUUGCAUACGCUGCUUAAUUAAUUAAGUAGCCGCUCCAGCCGCUGAGCCCGCGCGGCGGUGAGUGAGCGUCAUUUUGCGGGAUAGGCAGCAGGCUUCGGUCCGGAGCCGAGGGCCGAGAUCAAUCGGACUAGGUGGCGGCUGUUCUCGCCGGCUCUGACGGCCGCGACCGAAUCAUUCGAGCCGGAUACGCAUCGUAGUCUCUUCAUGGCGGGCUUUCUCGGACGCGGGUUCAACUCCCGCCGCCUCCACCA